GAUCGAUGAAGGUCGAGAGAUUGUAAAGAUCUUUUCCACAUGAGGAAUAACCAUCUGAGGGAAUGCGGGUGGGAUGACGUUAGUGUGGGAAUAAGCCCCGGCUAAUUACGUGCCAGCAGCCGCGGUAACACGUAAGGGGCGAGCGUUGUUCGGAAUUAUUGGGCGUAAAGGGCACGCAGGCGGUUAUACAAGUCCGAUGUUAAAGACCUGGGCUCAACUCAGGGAAUGCGUUGGAAACUGUAUGACUAGAGUAUUAGAGGGGGAGUCGGAAUUCCUAGUGUAGGGGUGAAAUCUGUUGAUAUUAGGAAGAACACCGGUGGCGAAGGCGGACUCCUGGCUGAAUACUGACGCUGAGGUGCGAAAGCAUAGGGAGCAAACAGGAUUAGAUACCCUGGUAGUCUAUGCUGUAAACGAUGUGCACUUGGUGUUGGGCCGAUUANGUUCAGUGCCGUAGCUAACGCGAUAAGUGCACCGCCUGGGGAGUAUGCCCGCAAGGGUGAAACUCAAAGGAAUUGACGGGGGCCCGCACAAGCGGUGGAUUAUGUGGUUUAAUUCNAUGAUACGCGAGAAACCUUAC
RNAcentral lists this ribosomal RNA (577 nucleotides) under Spirochaeta sp. TP422. RNAcentral describes it as "bacterial SSU rRNA". It matches the Rfam family "Bacterial small subunit ribosomal RNA", at positions 403 to 974 of the family's 1533-position model. Lineage: Bacteria; Pseudomonadati; Spirochaetota; Spirochaetia; Spirochaetales; Spirochaetaceae. The record is from RNAcentral.